Molecule: ribosomal RNA, 253 nt
Filed under: uncultured bacterium
Lineage: Bacteria
Description: partial 16S ribosomal RNA
Rfam family: Bacterial small subunit ribosomal RNA
Source: RNAcentral
UACGAAGGGGGCUAGCGUUGCUCGGAAUCACUGGGCGUAAGGCGCACGUAGGCGGCUUUCUAAGUCAGGGGUGAAAUCCUGGAGCUCAACUCCAGAACUGCCUUUGAUACUGGGGAGCUCGAGUCCGGAAGAGGUGAGCGGAACUCCGAGUGUAGAGGUGAAAUUCGUAGAUAUUCGGAAGAACACCAGUGGCGAAGGCGGCUCACUGGUCCGGUACUGACGCUGAGGUGCGAAAGCGUGGGGAGCAAACAGG